This 73-nucleotide transfer RNA is filed under the name Camelus bactrianus (Bactrian camel). It matches the Rfam family "tRNA". From Rfam's summary of the family: Transfer RNA (tRNA) molecules are approximately 80 nucleotides in length. RNAcentral also lists the same sequence under 2 other names. Lineage: Eukaryota; Metazoa; Chordata; Mammalia; Artiodactyla; Camelidae. The record is from Rfam by way of RNAcentral.
GAGGGUAUAGCUCAAGUGGUAGAGUGCAUGCUUAGCAUGCAAGAGGUCCUGGGUUCAAUCCCCAGUACCUCCU